GACGAACGCUGGCGGCGUGCUUAACACAUGCAAGUCGAACGGUGAAGCGCCUUCCUUUUUGGUGGGUGUGGAUGAGUGGCGAACGGGUGAGCAACACGUGAGUAACCUGCCCCCUUCUUCUGGAUAACCGCAUGAAAGUGUGGCUAAUACGGGAUAUUCUGGGUCUGUCGCAUGAUGGGUCUGGGAAAGAUAUUGUUUCGGUGGGGGAUGGGCUCGCGGCCUAUCAGCUUGUUGGUGGGGUGAUGGCCUACCAAGGCGGUGACGGGUAGCCGGCCUGAGAGGGUGGACGGUCACACUGGGACUGAGACACGGCCCAGACUCCUACGGGAGGCAGCAGUGCGGAAUAUUGCACAAUGGGCGCAAGCCUGAUGCAGCGACGCCGCGUGAGGGAUGGAGGCCUUCGGGUUGUGAACCUCUUUCGCCAGUGAAGCAGGCCUGCCUCGUUUGUGGGUGGGUUGACGGUAGCUGGAUAAGAAGCGCCGGCUAACUACGUG
This 494-nucleotide ribosomal RNA is filed under the name uncultured bacterium. RNAcentral describes it as "partial 16S ribosomal RNA". It matches the Rfam family "Bacterial small subunit ribosomal RNA", at positions 28 to 507 of the family's 1533-position model. The record is from RNAcentral.